CGCCGCACGGGUCGUCACGCUGUCCCGUGAGACCACCUGCCUCGCUGGCGGGUUUUAAUCAAGGGACUAAUUUUCUCAAAACGUGAGGGAUAUUAUGUGUUCUCUGUGGAUUGAUACGAAAAACCCAGUGUUGUUUGGUGCCUAGCAUUCAGAAAUAUCAGCAAUUAACGUACCACCUAUGAUGAAAUGUGCAUGAUUGUGUGUGUGUUUUGCCAUUUUUACUGUUGAAGUGUGAUUCAAAUAUCCGUACAUCGUUCCGUGAGCUGAGUGGACAUAUGCACCAUUCUUCCAUAACGACAGUUAAUUCAAAUGACGGAAGUUAGUGUGUGACAAAUUGAAUUACCAAAUACAAAAAUUCAAGUCAACCUAAAUUGGGAGGAUGUCCUGCUUGGCCAACUUGCAGCGUGCUGAAUGUGUGCAGACCUCGAUGUGCUGAGUGCGCGUCAGGGACGCGGUGUUCCGCGUCCCUGAAAUACAACAAGGAGAAAACAAAGCACGCCAAGACACUGUUCACCUGGGUCAGAUCCUACUGUGGCGCGGGAGUCAGUCAGUCAGUCAGUCAGCAUCGUAAGACACAAGACGAGGAGCAAGCAAGAUUCACGACGACACAGUUCUUCACUGACUCGUCAACUCACUGACAGCAAAGUGCGUCUGUGCAGAGAAGACAACACGUGUGGUGCCGCCCUCCCGUGACUACUGAGGAGACAGGAAAGAGAAGAAACCAGGAAAGAAACAGCAAGAGGAGGAAGAGGAGGAGGAGGAGAAGGAGGAGGAAGAGGAGGACGACGACGAAAAAGAGUUGGGGAUUAAAGGGGAGGAGGACGAACAAGAGGAUGUACUGUGGUAAGAGGAGGAGGAGGAAGGCGUAAAUAGAAUAAAGGAAUAAAGAAAUACAAAAAAGAGUACGAAUGUAUAGGGAAGAAUAACGAAAUAUAUUGUCAAAUCAGGAAAAAAAAGAAGGAAGAAAAGGAAAUAUAAAGGAAAUAGAAGCAAGAGUAGUGAAGCUUGAGAUAGAAUAAAAAAAAGAUAUGAAGGAGUAAUGGUUUAUAAGAAGGAGUAAGGAAAUAUAAGGAAGAAUAAUGAGAAGUACAGAAGGAAAAGGAUAUAUAAUGAAAGAAAAUAGCCGUAGAUAACGCCUAUGAAAUUUUACUGCCACACAUUUCUUUCCUCCUCUCCUUCGAUUACCUUCCAACGUGGCAUACCCUUCCCUUAGCUAACCCAGCCAUUAUCCAAGAGGCAGAGAGGGAGAAGAUACAGUGCUCACCUCCUCACCACGCCCUGCAAUAAAGAGCAACACCUCCUCCUUCAAUGACCUCAUCCCAACACAUCAAAGACAAACCCACCACCACUACCACCACCACCACCACCACCACCACCACCACUACCACCACCACCACCACAACCACCAACCACGACCAUAACAAUAAUAAUGACCAAAAUCAUAACCCCUCCACAAUUCCCGCCACAGUCAGAGCCGCACAGAGUCACCAGCAGCACCUCCAAGCCAACUCUCCUUGUCCCAGCGGCAGUCCUGGUCCCCCCUUACCACCACGUCGCCUUCACCAGCACCACCCUCUCCCUCCUCCACGCCACCGCCGCCACUCCAGCACGAGACCACCGCCCUUAACCCUCCGAGGAACGUGCUGCCCCAGGGCCGUCUCGACCAGCUGCAGGCGGAGGUGAGCAAGCUGGAGCAGCGGAGCGAGCAGCUGGAGGCUCGGGUAAAGAGUUUCUUCCGCCAGCACCAUGCCCUCGCCGCUGCCACGGACCAGAUCGACCUUAAACUGGAGGCGCUCAACCGACAACACAAGACCCUCUCGUCCUCAUAGUCUUUUGUGUGGCUGCCUCGAGGAACACUGCACGUACACCGCCUCUCCUGAGUGUGUUAUGGAGAUCCUUAAUGUUGAGGCAUACCUGUGUUUCCUGGUGUGAAAGAGAUUUGUGUGGUGUAAUACAGGUGCCGACACCGCACUUACCCACAAGAACUGACAAAAUAUCAUCGUUUUUAUGCUUACUAUAAUUUUUUUUAGGAAGAGUCUUGGUGCGGCUGUAUGUGUGUGUGUGUGUGUGUGUGUGUGUGUGUGUGUGUGUGUGUGUGUGUGUGUGUGUGUGUGUGUGUGUGUGUGUGUGUGUGUGUGUGUGUGUGUUCCCUGGUUCAAAACAAACUUGUGCAGAGUGAGACAGGUGGCCACACAGCACUCACCUACGAAAACUUAGGGAAUAUUGGCAUUUUUAUGAAGAGCGUUUUUAUAAAGAGUCCUGGGACCGCUGCGUGUGUGUCUGUGUGUCUUGACGCAACACGAACUUGUGCGGAGUAAGAUGGAUGGAUGCCAGAACAACUUUACCCGACGGAAACUUAUCAAACAAUGUCAAUUUUAGGCUUCAUCUUUAUUUUUGUAUGAGUCAGUGUCGCAGAGAAUGCCUCAGAAAGGUUACGUGGACCACACACAUUUUUUUUUACGGCUAGUUUUAUGUUUUGUGGCCGCUCGGAUACAAUGUAUUUCUGGGAACAGGCUCGUCAAGACCUCGCCGCGGGGUUGCGUGGGCGCGGCGGGGAGUUCCCUCGCUCCUUCCUUCUCUCGCCAAGCUCGCCUCUCUUCACCCAACACUCGAUAUUUUGAGGAAAAUGGAGCGGCUACAACAAAGGCAACAAAUUUUCAGGGGCAGGGUGUAUUGGUAAAAAAAAAGUAGGGCUUUCAUAAAGACGGGCUGGAACUUAUUAAAAUGAGAUCCAAACGAUGGAAAUUAACAAGAAAAUCUUAAUACAGGUAGUUAAGCGUGACUAAAAUAGCAGAUUAAAAAAAAAACAAAAAAAACAAAACAAAACAAAAAACAGAAGGCAAUAGAAAGCAUAGAAACAUAUUAUGGCUUUCAUUGAUACCUUUUUGUGACGCGUGUGUUGCAUGCACGGAGACUG
Molecule: long non-coding RNA, 2917 nt
Organism: Scylla paramamosain (green mud crab)
Lineage: Eukaryota; Metazoa; Arthropoda; Malacostraca; Decapoda; Portunidae
Exons: 3
Source: RefSeq, a predicted model, not a curated record